This is a long non-coding RNA of Acinonyx jubatus (cheetah), 639 nucleotides long. RefSeq lists it as uncharacterized. The transcript has 3 exons. The record is from RefSeq and is a predicted model, not a curated record. Lineage: Eukaryota; Metazoa; Chordata; Mammalia; Carnivora; Felidae.
AUAUGCACUGCUGUUGGUCCCACUGGUCCGAGGCCCACGCUUUGAGUAGCAAGACACUGAAUGAUAGAAAUGGAACCAGUUGGCCAAUGAGGAGCAGUGAUGUGAUGGCCAAAUGAUCCCUAUGCUUAGAUAUCUGAGCAGAGUGCCAAGGGAAGGCAGAGUUGCAGCAAAAAACGGGAGGAAGCAUCAACUUGCUUAGCAUACAAGAUACAUUUGAAGGUUGAGGAGACAUGACAGCAUUCUCAUGGAGCUAUGGAGAUUGGCUACACAGAUCCAACCUGUAAGUGAGAAUAUGCUGGGGUGGGGAAGGGGGCUUUGGGAAAUCUUUCUCUUUCCUGCACAGAAAUAACUGAUGAUGACUUUUUCCGACGGCCAAUUUAUUCCUGGCCUCGGCAUGGAUGAGUUGCCUGCAGCUGAAGCAGCCAUCUUGUGUCCCAAGACAAAGCCCGCGAGAGUAAUAGAGGUUGGCCCAGAAAUCAUUAAAAUCCAUGUCGGCAGCUGCCUACCUCCAGCCUUUCUGUUAUCUGAGAAAAUAACCCCCCUCUCUGUUUAAGCCAGUGUGAACCCAGUUUUCUAUUAUUUGCAGCCAAAUGGCCUUUUAGCAGAUGUACUGCAUGACCCGCUCAGCUGGGCGUUGAA